GCCAGACUCCUACGGGAGGCAGCAGUGAGGAAUAUUGGUCAAUGGGCGAGAGCCUGAACCAGCCAAGUCGCGUGAGGGAAGACGGUCCUAUGGAUUGUAAACCUCUUUUGCCGGGGAGCAAAAAGCGGUACGUGUACCGCAUCGAGAGUACCCGGAGAAAAAGCAUCGGCUAACUCCGUGCCAGCAGCCGCGGUAAUACGGAGGAUGCGAGCGUUAUCCGGAUUUAUUGGGUUUAAAGGGUGCGCAGGCGGCGAGUUAAGUCAGCGGUAAAAUUUCGGGGCUCAACCCCGACAAGCCGUUGAAACUGGCAGACUUGAGUUGGCGAGAAGUACGCGGAAUGCGCGGUGUAGCGGUGAAAUGCAUAGAUAUCGCGCAGAACUCCGAUUGCGAAGGCAGCGUACCGGCGCCAGACUGACGCUGAGGCACGAAAGCGUGGGGAUCGAACAGGAUUAGAUACCCUUGUACA
This 466-nucleotide ribosomal RNA is filed under the name uncultured bacterium. RNAcentral's name for it is "bacterial SSU rRNA". It matches the Rfam family "Bacterial small subunit ribosomal RNA", at positions 330 to 794 of the family's 1533-position model. The record is from RNAcentral.